RNAcentral lists this ribosomal RNA (253 nucleotides) under uncultured bacterium. Its description in RNAcentral is "partial 16S ribosomal RNA". It matches the Rfam family "Bacterial small subunit ribosomal RNA", at positions 524 to 776 of the family's 1533-position model. The record is from RNAcentral.
UACGAAGGGGGCUAGCGUUGCUCGGAAUCACUGGGCGUAAAGCGCACGUAGGCGGCUUUCUAAGUCAGGGGUGAAAUCCUGGAGCUCAACUCCAGAACUGCCUUUGAUACUGGAAAGCUCGAGUCCGGGAGAGGUGAGUGGAACUCCGAGUGUAGAGGUGAAAUUCGUAGAUAUUCGGAAGAACACCAGUGGCGAAGGCGGCUCACUGGCCCGGUACUGACGCUGAGGUGCGAAAGCGUGGGGAGCAAACAGG